Molecule: ribosomal RNA, 253 nt
Filed under: uncultured bacterium
Lineage: Bacteria
Description: partial 16S ribosomal RNA
Rfam family: Bacterial small subunit ribosomal RNA
Source: RNAcentral
UACGGAGGGGGCAAGCGUUAUUCGGAAUUAUUGGGCGUAAAGGGCGCGUAGGCGGCUAGAUGUGUCAAAGGUGAAAUCCCUCGGCUCAACUGAGGAACUGCCUUUGAAACUGUCUGGCUUGAGGCCGGGAGAGGGUAGCGGAAUUCCCAGUGUAGCGGUGAAAUGCGUAGAUAUUGAGAGGAACACCAGUGGCGAAGGCGGCUACCUGGACCGGUUCUGACGCUGAGGCGCGAAAGCGUGGGUAGCAAACAGG